GCAACUGGCAUGGAGUGGCCAGGGGCGGGGGACAGGGAGAAUGCUUGCGAGCCUGGCUGCAGAUGGGUCUCUGUGCCACGGAGAGCCUCUGGGCAGUGGGUAAGGAGCGGCCAAGCCCUGCAGAGAGCUACUGGCACACGGAUUCAUGCUCAGGGCUACUAGUUAAAUAAGGUCCAGAAUACUGCAGGCCUUCCGUGGAGGUGGCUUUGGAGAGCUUCUGACAUCUCUGUCUGACAGGGAGCCACAUCUGCUCUGCCUUUGUCCACUCACCAGGGACACACACAGGACAUGCUGGGACAUCAUGUUCUGCAUUAUUUAGCAACGUGUGAGGAGGACACCCCCAGAGAAUAAAGUAAUUUUAAACUGGAAAAAAUGAUUAAGAAUCACGGGCAUGAAAGAAACAGCAGCAAGCAGAUGUUGUAAAACACCAGUGAGGAGAAAAGGAAGGCGACAGCUGAGAGUGAAUUGAUUUUCCUCCUAUGUCUUGCAUCCUUACUCAAUCACGCCAGAUGGAGGAGCAAUCACUAAGACAUAAGGCCCUGUUGGUCCCCCUACUUUUCCCACAAGAGAACUGGCUGAAAAUACCUUCCAAAAGCAGCAGAAUGAUAAAAGCAAAUGCACUGUUUCAUUUAUUAAUCAAGAGUCAAUUUAUCUUACUCAUUUGAGACAGCAAGCCGUGGUGGAAAAAGAAAAAUCUUCGGAUACUGUACCUGACGGAGAGCCAUAAAUGUUAAAAUGUAUAUCUAAGUAUCUAAGAUGCUCCAAGCAAAAAACAAACAA
Eptesicus fuscus (big brown bat) is the source of this 780-nucleotide long non-coding RNA. RefSeq lists it as uncharacterized. The record is from RefSeq and is a predicted model, not a curated record. NCBI's taxonomy places the organism in Eukaryota, Metazoa, Chordata, Mammalia, Chiroptera, Vespertilionidae. The transcript has 3 exons.